GGGGGUGACAGGCUUCGACUUUGGUAUUUGACGCAUGGGAAGCGAGUCGUGGUCUCCGGAUCCACGCUAAAGAGCCGGAAACAAAAAUAAACGCCGAGCCUCAGCUCGCACUCGCAGCUUAAUUAAUUCUGCGACGUCCUUCCCGCCCAAGCUCUUAGGGCGGUCAAAGGGCGAAAUCAAAGAGAGAUAAGCCGGUGGCGGUCUCGGAACCGCCGGACGAAAACCUACGAGAUAGGCAGAGGGCCAGACGCUAGCAGUAACCCGCUGAAGAAAAUUUACGACUAGCUGCACUCGGAGAAGCCAUGCGAAGGGGCCGAAGGACGCGGGUUCAAUUCCCGCCACCUCCACCA
This 350-nucleotide transfer-messenger RNA is filed under the name Acidimicrobiaceae. Its description in RNAcentral is "Acidithrix sp021818355 Standard tmRNA". It matches the Rfam family "transfer-messenger RNA". Rfam says of the family: Bacterial tmRNA, also known as 10Sa RNA or SsrA, is named for its dual tRNA and mRNA-like properties. The record is from RNAcentral. RNAcentral also lists the same sequence under 1 other name. Lineage: Bacteria; Bacillati; Actinomycetota; Acidimicrobiia; Acidimicrobiales.